Poecilia reticulata (guppy) is the source of this 922-nucleotide non-coding RNA. The record is from RefSeq and is a predicted model, not a curated record. Lineage: Eukaryota; Metazoa; Chordata; Actinopteri; Cyprinodontiformes; Poeciliidae.
UGAUGGACGUCAAAACAACUUGUGUUCCAUAAAGCUAGUCUAAAUACAAACGUCUGUAACCUAAUAUCGCUUCUGUUUAGUUGAUUUCACUUUAAAAAUUUGUCACAGGAUGCUGCGCGGUCGGCUGCACAAACGGACAAGGAUAUAAACCAAACGUGUCAUUUUACUUUAUAACGUUUAACGAGGAAAGAUGCGGAAAUGAUGGCCGUCAAUCAUAAGGAGCAACUGUUAAUCAUAAAGACUGGCAACCCUGAUGUAAACACGGAUUAACAACCAACACUUUUUACAAGCUCAUAAAACGUUUUAUCCACUUUGGGAGAUAAAUUGAGCCUUCAUUUUCCUGUCGAUGUCAAAAUCCUGUGAAAACAAAUUCCAAGCAGCUUCAACAGCAGGCAGCAGGGGAGGGUACUGAAUCCACCAAUCCGACCGGACCAAGAUCAGACCCUUAACAGCACAGCUGUUGCCGAACUGGACACAGCGCUACAAACGCUGGGAGAAACCUCAAAGACAAGCAGCGCUAACGGAGCUCUUGCUACUGGAAAUGCUAAUGGAGCUAGAACACCGAUACUGGAUGUGAAACCACUGUGACACCAGAUGAAGUUCGGACAUUAACAACUGUUGCCGAACCGACGCAGCGCUAUAGAAGUACUUACCAGAUCACCCAGUCCGACCAGAGAUCGAUUUCAGUGUGCUCCAGUUCAAUUUGAAAAGGCUUAAAGACGUUGCAUACCACUGUUUUGGCUGGAUGGAGCAAAGGCAGUUGGACCAUUAUACAUCAUUUACCCAGAAUGCAUUGCAGUGUGAACAACAUGGUGACUUUCCUGUGACAAUAUUUUACUAAAAUGUAUAAAAACUAACGUACAGUAUUAUUACUGUAUUGUUUUUAUUUCCGAAAUAAAAUCUAUUGUUGCGACUAAUCCUG